UUCCAGACUCCUACGGGAGGCAGCAGUGGGGAAUAUUGCACAAUGGGGGAAACCCUGAUGCAGCAACGCCGCGUGAGUGAAGAAGUAUUUCGGUAUGUAAAGCUCUAUCAGCAGGGAAGAGAAUGACGGUACCUGACUAAGAAGCCCCGGCUAACUACGUGCCAGCAGCCGCGGUAAUACGUAGGGGGCGAGCGUUAUCCGGAUUUACUGGGUGUAAAGGGAGCGUAGACGGUUCUGCAAGUCUGAAGUGAAAGCCCGUGGCUUAACCGCGGAACGGCUUUGGAAACUGUGGAACUGGAGUGCUGGAGAGGCAAGCGGAAUUCCUAGUGUAGCGGUGAAAUGCGUAGAUAUUAGGAAGAACACCAGUGGCGAAGGCGGCUUUCUGGACUGAAACUGACGCUGAGGCACGAAAGCGUGGGGAGCGAACAGGAUUAGAUACCCUUGUAAG
RNAcentral lists this ribosomal RNA (448 nucleotides) under uncultured bacterium. RNAcentral's name for it is "bacterial SSU rRNA". It matches the Rfam family "Bacterial small subunit ribosomal RNA", at positions 329 to 793 of the family's 1533-position model. The record is from RNAcentral.